UUACAUCAAAAAUAGUUUUGAGUGCCAAGGAAAAAAAAAACUUUGAACGGAGAAAGAAAAUAAAUAAAAGAAAGAAAACCUUCCACGACUCUUCUCCUCCAUAGCCUCUCGUCUCCAUCGAGUUUUUCUCCGUCUGUUAAUAAAAAAAAAAAAUUCCGACGAAUACUGAUAGUGAAACUUUCUCUCACUAUAUUCGCAAAGAAGACACCAUCAUUGAAUCGAAUUCAGAUCACACAAUUCGCCAUAGAUAACUCAACUACAGAUCUGUUAUCUCGAUCGGAAACCGCCGUAACUCGACAUCCUCUCUUUCGAUCUGAUUCCAUAACCGUGAAGCCUCUCCCGAAUCUCUCGUUCCAGCGUCUUUAUCCUCCUACAAAGCUAAUGUUCAGUCCUCUUCUCUCCGUCGUCCUUCAUCCGGAGAUCUACUCACUUCUUCCGGCGAUUUCCUCCGUCUCUGGGAUAUUAACCAAGAUUCUUCCACAGUUGAGCCUAUCUCGGUUCUCAACAACAGGAAAAUGAGUUUUUCCAUUGAGCGAUGGGCAAUAGUGAAGAGAUCCUUUUCAUGAUGUAAAGAGCAAAGAAGAGACAAGUAAACCCCUUUAUGAUUCACUCCUUUCAGAACCUCCUGAUUUAAGUAUUUGGUUUUCAAGCUAUGUCUAUGAAUCACCGAUGCUGGAUGGUUUUUGUGAAGAAAGGGUCUAAGAAGAAGCGUUUUGCUGCUGUAAUUCUGCGUAUUUGAGAGCUUGGAUUUGGGAUGAUGAUGGAUUCUGGAGAACAUAAGCUUGAAGAAGUAGUUGUCCCGUUUAAAGGGAAGAGCUGUAAGAAGAUACGUAAAACUCUUAUGUUUAUUUUGUUACAACAUAUCCCAGAGAUUUGUGGAGCACGCCUCUGCUAGAGCUUCUCUAUAAGCUUGAAGAAGCAGUCUGGUCUUCUUACUUCUUUUGCUUACCCUUUGUAGGGAGGCUUGGGCGAGGUUGUUCUAUGUUUCUGCCGCUUUUAUAUGUUGUAGAACAAGUGAUGUUAUCGAGCCUAUGAUAAUGCCCCGGUGGUAUGUUAAUGGCAACAUGAUUGGGAAGGAAGCUCUUGGUGUUGCCACCACUGAUGAAAAAAAGAAGCCCGAGUUUAUACCAAAGCAAUACACAGCAGAAUGGUGAAGCAACAUGUCCUAUUGAGGAUGCAACAGGUCCAGGCUCUCCAACUAAGAAAACUCUACCGCAUUCACCGGAAUCUCAGCGUAUCAAUGAAGUCAAGAAGUGCAGACUGAUGGAUAUUACCGGAAAGAAGCUGGUUGUUGCUGAAGGACGAUGGGCAACAAACGAUCCAAACCAAAAGGUUCACUUUCGUUUGGGUUCUAAUGCAGUUAAAGUGUGGGUAGAUAUUGUCAAGGUAAGCGAUGCAGCAGUUUGGAAGCCAUCAGAAGAAAUCGAGAUGAUGGAAGAUGCCCUUGGCACAGUCAUUGCAUAGCCAGAGGACAAAGUGAUCAUCAUGUCUUAAAUUAACCAUGAGGUUUACUGACUCCUACUUUAGACUUACAAUCUAUCUUAUGGAUUUGCUUUUUAUCUUCAGACUUGUCUUGUUCCUUAUGGAUUUUAAACUUUGUGUUAUGUACUAUGUAUUAUGUUUGAUUGUGAAAUGGUGAAUUAGGGAUUUAAUAUUAAUACAGGUUCCGGAUCAA
Non-coding RNA from Camelina sativa (false flax), 1675 nucleotides. Lineage: Eukaryota; Viridiplantae; Streptophyta; Magnoliopsida; Brassicales; Brassicaceae. The record is from RefSeq and is a predicted model, not a curated record.